AUGGUCUCAUGCAACGGUGGUCUUCACCAAAUGCGAGCUGCUAUAUGUGACAUGGUUGUAAUAGCUAGAUAUUUAAAUGUCACUUUGGUUGUGCCAGAGUUGGAUAAGACGUCUUUUUGGAACAACCCGAGUGAGUUCCAAGAUAUAUUUGACGUCGAACAUUUUAUAACCUCCUUGCGAGACGAAGUUCGCAUCUUAAGAGAGAACUGCCUCCAAGGGCAAAGCGAAGAGUUGAACUUGGCAUGUUCCACUCAAUGCCACCUAUCAGUUGGUCUGAUAUCUCCUAUUACCAUAGUCAGAUUCUUCCAUUGA
Molecule: ribosomal RNA, 312 nt
Filed under: Triticum aestivum (bread wheat)
Lineage: Eukaryota; Viridiplantae; Streptophyta; Magnoliopsida; Poales; Poaceae
Description: partial small subunit ribosomal RNA
Source: RNAcentral